CAAGCGUCCAGAAUCCUGCCCUGACCCCACCCUGCUGCAGGGACAGUCGUUUCUGGCCACCGAGAUGGACCGUCCCCAAAUGAGGCUCUGCUGGACUGAGGAAUGGACACGGCAGCCCAGGGGACACUCGCGGGGUCCCAAGGAACUUACCCAACAAAGCAAGGGCCUGGCAGGUGUGCCGUCUCUGCGCUAUGUGCCCAGGCCAGGCCAGCUCCUUGACUGUCUCCUCGCCCUGAAAAACAGCCCAUGGCUGGGCUGGCAGCCACCCGGGCUCCAGGCCAGAGCUCCAGGCUUGCACUGUGGGCUCCAGUACUCACUGGUGCGCUAGUCUCUCCCAGGCUUGUGGUCCUGGCACCUGCAACCAGGGGCAACUCCUGGCCCCGCCCUGCCCCGCCCACUCAGGGCUUUGUUCUGUAAGUAGGGGAAUGUGGAGAGGCCUGGGUGGGCUUGGCCUGGCAGCGGGAGCCCUCUGACUCAGAGCAGAGGUGCUGCCCCCUCCUCCCUCUCCCCUCCAGAGCCUUGGUACCCUAAGGAGCCGCCUCCUUGCCUCUCCUGGGAAUGCCAGAAGAUUCCUCUGAGCAGCCCCAGCCUGCUCCAGGAACGCGAGAUGCCUACAUGCCACAUGUUACAACAUCCACGCCGAUGCGAACCUUGUGUCCCUACUGUGGGAACUACGUCAUGACCAGGACGACCCCUGUGCCCGGCAUGCUCUCCUGGGUGCUGUGCCUGGGCCUCUGUGUGUUUGGGUGCUUCCUGGGCUGCUGCCUGAUCCCUUUCUGUGUGAGAAGCCUCAUGGACGUGAGGCACACGUGUCCCGUGUGCAGACAGACGCUCUUCCACCACCGCCGCCUGUGACCGCCAGAAUAAACAUGCACUUCACCCCA
Molecule: long non-coding RNA, 884 nt
Organism: Ochotona princeps (American pika)
Lineage: Eukaryota; Metazoa; Chordata; Mammalia; Lagomorpha; Ochotonidae
Exons: 3
Source: RefSeq, a predicted model, not a curated record